RNAcentral lists this long non-coding RNA (955 nucleotides) under Hordeum vulgare. RNAcentral's name for it is "long non-coding RNA (HVUL_LNC017857)". The record is from RNAcentral. Lineage: Eukaryota; Viridiplantae; Streptophyta; Magnoliopsida; Poales; Poaceae.
GCCUAUACAGUCCAAUGUUAUUUUGAUCAAGCAUGGUUAAUGAUAUUUCUGCAUGACCAAGACAAUCAGUCCUUAUGUUCUAUGCAGAGAUAUGUCAAUUCUUCAAACUAUACACUCCAAAUCUCCUAUAUUGAGUGAUUCUUUGUAUUGAGUGAUUAAAAUGCUGGUGGUAGUCGUUGUGGCAUUUUCAUCAUUUUGAGAGCAAGGCUGGGGAGUUGUACCUACAGUUCAAGUUUAUUACAAUAAUUUGUGAGGAAGACACUAUUAUAUUUUGCUUAUAAUAUCAUUAGUAAUUUUCAUUAAAAUUUCCUUAUAAAUAUUUUCUUAUUUUCUUGUGGCACUUUCUCCGGCACAUAAGAUGACUUACUGUUUCCAUCAUCAAGAACUACCUCACACUCCUCCCAACAGGUCUCACAUCAGCGACAUGCUAAGAAAUACAACAAGGAGAAAGCCAACGGAAUCAUCACAUGUCUCUUUGCGCAAUGAAAUAACACACAUGUUAUCAUCUUGCAAAAUUUCUAUAUUUGACUUGCUGAAUUUUCAAUUUGAACAGUUUCCCAUUUUCGCGUACAUUCAAAUAGUAACAUAUGAGGUUUAUACUACUAGAAGGAUGAAGUAACACAACUGAAAUUUAUACUGCUGGAAGUACUAUCUCCACUUUGUACUAUAUUGCAGUCCUGCUCUCAAUUCUGAGAAUUCAUCGACAAUGUAAAUUUGAAGGUAAUCUUCAUUUUUUAAUUUAUUUCUUUGAUACUGUUUUCUAAAUUUAUUAUACGGAUUUUAGAAAGGCUUUUUUCCUAUAUUUAAAAGUGUUAAAUUUAUUCAUAAAAAUAAUAUUGAUCAAUAUGAUUCAUAGUAAAAUAUUUUUUCUGAUAAUAGUCUGUGCAGACGCGUGGGUUAUGUGGUACAAAUACCGACAUGGGCGGUCUAGGAUUAAGCAAAUUUUGUGUCGAGG